AGUCGAGCGAACAGAUAAGGAGCUUGCUCCUUUGACGUUAGCGGCGGACGGGUGAGUAACACGUGGGUAACCUACCUAUAAGACUGGGAUAACUUCGGGAAACCGGAGCUAAUACCGGAUAACAUUUGGAACCGCAUGGUUCUAAAGUGAAAGAUGGUUUUGCUAUCACUUAUAGAUGGACCCGCGCCGUAUUAGCUAGUUGGUAAGGUAACGGCUUACCAAGGCAACGAUACGUAGCCGACCUGAGAGGGUGAUCGGCCACACUGGAACUGAGACACGGUCCAGACUCCUACGGGAGGCAGCAGUAGGGAAUCUUCCGCAAUGGGCGAAAGCCUGACGGAGCAACGCCGCGUGAGUGAUGAAGGGUUUCGGCUCGUAAAACUCUGUUAUUAGGGAAGAACAAAUGUGUAAGUAACUGUGCACAUCUUGACGGUACCUAAUCAGAAAGCCACGGCUAACUACGUGCCAGCAGCCGCGGUAAUACGUAGGUGGCAAGCGUUAUCCGGAAUUAUUGGGCGUAAAGCGCGCGUAGGCGGUUUCUUAAGUCUGAUGUGAAAGCCCACGGCUCAACCGUGGAGGGUCAUUGGAAACUGGGAAACUUGAGUGCAGAAGAGGAAAGUGGAAUUCCAUGUGUAGCGGUGAAAUGCGCAGAGAUAUGGAGGAACACCAGUGGCGAAGGCGACUUUCUGGUCUGUAACUGACGCUGAUGUGCGAAAGCGUGGGGAUCAAACAGGAUUAGAUACCCUGGUAGUCCACGCCGUAAACGAUGAGUGCUAAGUGUUAGGGGGUUUCCGCCCCUUAGUGCUGCAGCUAACGCAUUAAGCACUCCGCCUGGGGAGUACGACCGCAAGGUUGAAACUCAAAGGAAUUGACGGGGACCCGCACAAGCGGUGGAGCAUGUGGUUUAAUUCGAAGCAACGCGAAGAACCUUACCAAAUCUUGACAUCCUUUGAAAACUCUAGAGAUAGAGCCUUCCCCUUCGGGGGACAAAGUGACAGGUGGUGCAUGGUUGUCGUCAGCUCGUGUCGUGAGAUGUUGGGUUAAGUCCCGCAACGAGCGCAACCCUUAAGCUUAGUUGCCAUCAUUAAGUUGGGCACUCUAGGUUGACUGCCGGUGACAAACCGGAGGAAGGUGGGGAUGACGUCAAAUCAUCAUGCCCCUUAUGAUUUGGGCUACACACGUGCUACAAUGGACAAUACAAAGGGCAGCUAAACCGCGAGGUCAUGCAAAUCCCAUAAAGUUGUUCUCAGUUCGGAUUGUAGUCUGCAACUCGACUACAUGAAGCUGGAAUCGCUAGUAAUCGUAGAUCAGCAUGCUACGGUGAAUACGUUCCCGGGUCUUGUACACACCGCCCGUCACACCACGAGAGUUUGUAACACCCGAAGCCGGUGGAGUAACCAUUUAUGGAGCU
RNAcentral lists this ribosomal RNA (1411 nucleotides) under Staphylococcus pseudoxylosus. RNAcentral's name for it is "bacterial SSU rRNA". It matches the Rfam family "Bacterial small subunit ribosomal RNA". The record is from RNAcentral. Lineage: Bacteria; Bacillati; Bacillota; Bacilli; Caryophanales; Staphylococcaceae.